Molecule: ribosomal RNA, 591 nt
Filed under: uncultured bacterium
Lineage: Bacteria
Description: bacterial SSU rRNA
Rfam family: Bacterial small subunit ribosomal RNA
Source: RNAcentral
GAUGAGCCUGCGUCCUAUCAGCUGGUUGGUGGGGUAACGGCCCACCAAGGCGACGACGGGUAGCUGGUCUGAGAGGAUGAUCAGCCACACUGCCACUGAAAUACGGGCCAGACUCCUACGGGAGGCAGCAGUGAGGAAUUUUGCGCAAUGGGAGCAAUCCUGACGCAGCAACGCCGCGUGAGUGAUGAAGGCCUUCGGGUCGUAAAGCUCUGUCAGGUGGGAAGAACGUCCAAGGGGUGAAUAAUCUUUUGGAGUGACGGUACCACCAGAGGAAGCACCGGCUAACUCCGUGCCAGCAGCCGCGGUAAUACGGAGGGUGCGAGCGUUAUUCGGAAUUACUGGGCGUAAAGCGCGUGCAGGCGGGAAGGCAAGUCUGAUGUGAAAGCCCCGGGCUUAACCUGGGAAGUGCAUUGGAAACUGCCUUUCUUGAGUACUGGAGAGGAAGGGGGAAUUCCCGGUGUAGAGGUGAAAUUCGUAGAGAUCGGGAGGAAUAUCAGUGGCGAAGGCGCCCUUCUGGACGGAUACUGACGCUGAGACGCGAAAGCGUGGGGAGCAAACAGGAUUAGAUACCCUGGUAGUCCACGCUGUAAA